CAUCAACUUCCACUCCUUCAUCAA
This 24-nucleotide non-coding RNA is filed under the name Arabidopsis thaliana (thale cress). The record is from RNAcentral. Lineage: Eukaryota; Viridiplantae; Streptophyta; Magnoliopsida; Brassicales; Brassicaceae.